AUUGAACGCUGGCGGCAGGCCUAACACAUGCAAGUCGAACGAGCGGCGGACGGGUGAGUAAUGUAUGGGAAACUGCCCGAUGGAGGGGGAUAACUACUGGAAACGGUGGCUAAUACCGCAUACCCUCAGGUGAGCCCAUAUGGGAUUAGCUUGUAGGUGGGGUAAAGGCGCACCUAGGCGACGAUCCCUAGCUGGUCUGAGAGGAUGAUCAGCAACCCUGGAACGGAGACACGGCCCAGACUCCUACGGGAGGCAGCAGUGGGGAAUAUUGCACAAUGGGCGCAAGCCUGAUGCAUCCAUGCCGCGUGUAUGAAGAAGGCCGUCGGGUUGUAAAGUACUUUCAGUGGGGAGGCGUUACCGACAGAAGAAGCACCGGCUAACUCCGUGCCAGCAGCCGCGGUAAUAC
RNAcentral lists this ribosomal RNA (406 nucleotides) under uncultured bacterium. Its description in RNAcentral is "partial 16S ribosomal RNA". It matches the Rfam family "Bacterial small subunit ribosomal RNA", at positions 30 to 526 of the family's 1533-position model. The record is from RNAcentral.